Long non-coding RNA from Onychostoma macrolepis, 1201 nucleotides. RefSeq lists it as uncharacterized. The transcript is spliced from 3 exons. The record is from RefSeq and is a predicted model, not a curated record. Lineage: Eukaryota; Metazoa; Chordata; Actinopteri; Cypriniformes; Cyprinidae.
GUAACACUGUAAAUGUGUGUGUGUGUGUGUGUGUGUUAGGACCAAAGCACCUCAACAAAAUAAUUCAGAUAGAAAAAAGACCAGCUACCUGAGAUUUCACUACUUUCCACUGAAGGUUUCAUCACAACAUUGAUUGAAAUGGUUCAGAUUGCAAAGGCAAUAGUCUUUCUCUGCAUGCUGAUUGGAUGGUCACAGGCUUUUCCACACCGUGAUGUUGUCGUCAGUGAGAAUGAAGCAAUGAAAGAUGCUGACAUGGUAACAGAUUUUACUCCACCAGUGUGUCGUGUGGUAAAUGAGAGUUCAGACUGUCUUUUGUCAUGUGGAAAUACAAUCUUGGAAGUGACUUAUAUUAUGUCAGAUGGCAACGGUUCAGGAAUUGAUCACACCCAAAUUAAUUCUUUUGGUGCGGGUUUUAGCAACAUAACUCAAUAUGAUGGUCUAGAUGAAAAUGGCUACAAUGCAACCCUUUUGCAUUAUUCUGGUAUCUGCUGCCUUGAAGAUUUGGAAGUUGCUGCAGUGGACAAGGCAGGAAACAAGGGGAAGUGUCCUGUAGUUGUCAAACGUGUUACGACCACAGCCAGUCAUUUCAAGACAAUACAUUUUUAGUACAGUUAAAGUACUUGAUGUUAAUGACUUGGUGUAUUGAAUGGUACAUGAAAAAAAUGAUUGCAAGGUUCAUUUAAAGCAAGUGCAUGGUAACUAAAUUUCACAGAUAGCUUUUAUUUACUUAAAUAUCCUUGUGAUAAGGAUGUGACAUGUAAAGGUGAUGCUAAUUUCCUGAUAUAAUUAAGGGGGAAAAAACACUCAUUAAAAGAUUUAAGUUUAUUAAUUCCUUUUAAAUUCAUCUUAUAAGUUCUAAGAUGUUCAAAAAUAAUCUAAAUGUGAAUGCAAGUGUCCGGGUGACAAACAAUAAACCUUCAAUGUUGCUCAAGACAAUUUGCAUUUAUAAGACACAUUUCUCCCCGGUGACCUGAAUCAGCACAAGUCUGUCAGUUUUGACGCAGCACUUUUGAAGGCAAGUACUUACAAAAUAUAUUAGCAUUCCAAUUCAGUCCACAUGAUGUCCACAAAAGAUAACGCUUUCAACAAUUGUAUAGUAGUAGUAAUUUAGUCAUUUAAAGUUAUAACUGAAUUGAUACUGUAAUAUAAAUCUUGGAAUGAGAAUAAACUGACACAUAAAACAUAAACACAACAAGUUUAU